AUGGCAAUUUUACACGUGUAUUGUUUUUCUAUUUUGGUGUAUGGAUUGCAUUUUUGGACUGAUGUAAUAGGCUGGAUGACAAGGUCUUUUGGCACCUUUUGCAUGGUUGGAAAUUGGCUUCUUGUAGCAGGUUUGGCAGGGCAGCAUUGCAGGUUUUUUUGCAGAGAUAGGGAUUGGUUUUAUGGACUAAUAUGCAGAGGAAAACAACAGUAG
This is a non-coding RNA of Vicia faba (fava bean), 213 nucleotides long. NCBI's taxonomy places the organism in Eukaryota, Viridiplantae, Streptophyta, Magnoliopsida, Fabales, Fabaceae. The record is from the annotation of a GenBank genome assembly.